RNAcentral lists this ribosomal RNA (253 nucleotides) under uncultured bacterium. RNAcentral describes it as "partial 16S ribosomal RNA". It matches the Rfam family "Bacterial small subunit ribosomal RNA", at positions 524 to 776 of the family's 1533-position model. The record is from RNAcentral.
UACGUAGGGUGCAAGCGUUGUCCGGAAUUAUUGGGCGUAAAGCGCGUGUAGGCGGUUCCGUAAGUCCGCUCUGAAAGCCCAGGGCUCAACCCUGGGAGGCGGGUGGAUACUACGGAACUGGAGUACGGAAGAGGAGAUUGGAAUUCCUGGUGUAGCGGUGAAAUGCGCAGAUAUCAGGAGGAACACCAACAGCGAAGGCAGAUCUCUGGGACGUUACUGACGCUGAGACGCGAAAGCGUGGGGAGCAAACAGG